CAAUCCGAAGACGUGAUGCGGACCGAAUUAAGAGUAGGGAAGUGUGUGAGCCAUGCGUCAAGAAAAGCCGCUAUUGUUUUACUUAAGCCCGUACCGUAAACCGACACAGGUGGAUGAGGAGAGAAUCCUAAGGCCGACGGGAGAAGCAUUGUUAAGGAACUCGGCAAAAUGACUCCGUAACUUCGGGAGAAGGAGUGCCAGCGAGAGCUGGCCGCAGAGAAUUGGCCCAAGCAACUGUUUAGCAAAAACACAGGUCUAUGCAAAACCGUAAGGUGAAGUAUAUGGGCUGACGCCUGCCCGGUGCUGGAAGGUUAAGAGGAGAGGUUAGCGGUAACGCGAAGCUUUGAAUUUAAGCCCCAGUAAACGGCGGCCGUAACUAUAACGGUCCUAAGGUAGCGAAAUUCCUUGUCGGGUAAGUUCCGACCCGCACGAAAGGCGUAAUGAUUUGGGCACUGUCUCAACAAUGCACCCGGUGAAAUUGAAAUACCAGUGAAGAUGCUGGUUACCUGCGCCAGGACGGAAAGACCCCAUGGAGCUUUACUCCAGCUUGAUACUGGGAUUCGGUAUUGCAUGUACAGGAUAGGUGGGAGGCUAGGAAGUGAUAACGCCAGUUGUCACGGAGCCGCUGUUGGGAUACCACCCUUGCAGUAUUGGAUUUCUAACCAGCGACCAUGAACUGGUCGGGGGACAAUGUCAGGUGGGGAGUUUGACUGGGGCGGUCGCCUCCGAAAGGGUAUCGGAGGCGCUCAAAGGUUCCCUCAGAAUGGACGGAAACCAUUCGAAGAGUGCAAAGGCAGAAGGGAGCUUGACUGCGACACCGACGGGUGGAGCAGGUACGAAAGUAGGACUUAGUGAUCCGGUGGUAUAAAGUGGGAUUGCCAUCGCUCAACGGAUAAAAGCUACCCUGGGGAUAACAGGCUUAUCACUCCCAAGAGUUCACAUCGACGGAGUGGUUUGGCACCUCGAUGUCGGCUCAUCGCAUCCUGGGGCUGAAGUAGGUCCCAAGGGUUGGGCUGUUCGCCCAUUAAAGCGGUACGCGAGCUGGGUUCAGAACGUCGUGAGACAGUUCGGUCCCUAUCCGGCGUGGGCGUAGGAUAUUUGAGAGGAGCUGUCCUUAGUACGAGAGGACCGGGAUGGACUGGCCGCUGGUGUAUCUGUUGCAUACCAAAUGCAUGGCAGAGUAGCCAAGCCGGGACGGGAUAAACGCUGAAGGCAUCUAAGCGUGAAGCCCCCCUCAAGAUGAGAUAUCCCUACGUAAGUAGUAAGACCCCUUGAAGACGACGAGGUAGAUAGGUCAGAGGUGGAAGUACAGUAAUGUAUGGAGCUGACUGAUACUAAUCGGUCGAGGGCAUGACCAAG
This 1359-nucleotide ribosomal RNA is filed under the name Dorea longicatena. RNAcentral describes it as "partial 23S ribosomal RNA". It matches the Rfam family "Bacterial large subunit ribosomal RNA", at positions 1551 to 2925 of the family's 2925-position model. Lineage: Bacteria; Bacillati; Bacillota; Clostridia; Lachnospirales; Lachnospiraceae. The record is from RNAcentral.